RNAcentral lists this ribosomal RNA (38 nucleotides) under Oxytropis falcata. Its description in RNAcentral is "partial 28S ribosomal RNA". Lineage: Eukaryota; Viridiplantae; Streptophyta; Magnoliopsida; Fabales; Fabaceae. The record is from RNAcentral.
CGAGACCUCAGGUCAGGCGGGGCUACCCGCUGAGUUUA